RNAcentral lists this transfer RNA (83 nucleotides) under Candidatus Omnitrophota bacterium. RNAcentral describes it as "tRNA-Leu". It matches the Rfam family "tRNA". From Rfam's summary of the family: Transfer RNA (tRNA) molecules are approximately 80 nucleotides in length. The record is from RNAcentral. Lineage: Bacteria; Pseudomonadati; Candidatus Omnitrophota.
GGGCAAGUGGUGGAAUGGCAUACACGCAGGACUUAAAAUCCUGUGACCGCAAGGUCGUGAGGGUUCGAUUCCCUCCUUGCCCA